Molecule: ribosomal RNA, 478 nt
Filed under: uncultured bacterium
Lineage: Bacteria
Description: partial 16S ribosomal RNA
Rfam family: Bacterial small subunit ribosomal RNA
Source: RNAcentral
GAUGAACGCUGGCGGCGUGCUUAACACAUGCAAGUCGAACGGGAAACCUUUUAUUGGCGCUUCGGCAGAUUUUGCUGGUUUCUAGUGGCGGACGGGUGAGUAACGCUUGGGGAACCUGCCUUUUACAGGGGGAUAACAGUCAGAAAUGGCUGCUAAUACCGCAAAAGCGCACAGAGCUGCAUGGCCCAGUGUGAAAAACUCCGGGGGUAUAAGAUGGACCCGCGUUGGAUUAGCUGGUUGGUGGGGUAACGGCCCACCAAGGCGACGAUCCAUAGCCGGCCUGAGAGGGUGAACGGCCACAUUGGGACUGAGACACGGCCCAGACUCCUACGGGAGGCAGCAGUGGGGAAUAUUGCACAAUGGGGGAAACCCUGAUGCAGCGACGCCGCGUGAAGGAAGAAGUAUCUCGGUAUGUAAACUUCUAUCAGCAUGGAAGAUAAUGACGGUACCUGACUAAGAAGCCCCGGCUAACUACGUG